RNAcentral lists this transfer RNA (81 nucleotides) under Bos taurus (domestic cattle). It matches the Rfam family "tRNA". Rfam says of the family: Transfer RNA (tRNA) molecules are approximately 80 nucleotides in length. Their secondary structure includes four short double-helical elements and three loops (D, anti-codon, and T loops). RNAcentral also lists the same sequence under 3 other names. The record is from Rfam by way of RNAcentral. Lineage: Eukaryota; Metazoa; Chordata; Mammalia; Artiodactyla; Bovidae.
UCCCCAGUGGCUCAGUGGUAAAGAAUCUGCCUGCUAAUGCAGGAGACACAGGAGACGCGGGUUCAAUCCCUGGCUGGGGAA